This 342-nucleotide ribosomal RNA is filed under the name uncultured bacterium. Its description in RNAcentral is "bacterial SSU rRNA". It matches the Rfam family "Bacterial small subunit ribosomal RNA", at positions 1 to 299 of the family's 1533-position model. The record is from RNAcentral.
UACCUGGACAGCUGCGAAUCCAUCUAGAUUUUAAGUUUGAUCAUGGCUCAGCAAGCGAACGCUGUAUGAUCAUGCCUAACACAUGCAAGUCGAACGGCAGCACAGAGUGAGCUUGCUCCUUGUGUGUGGCGAAGUGGCUGUGACGUGGUGAGUGAAUACAUCGGAAUCUACUUUUUCUGUGGUGUGGAUAACGUAGUGGAAACUUACGCUAAUACCGCAUACGACCUACGGGUGAAAGCGGGAUCUUCGGACCUUCGGGAUUGAAUGAGCCUGAUGUCGGAUUAGCUAGUUGGCGGGGUAAAGUGCCCACCAAGGCGACGAUCCGUAACUGGUCUUGAAACG